Molecule: long non-coding RNA, 4615 nt
Organism: Meriones unguiculatus (Mongolian gerbil)
Lineage: Eukaryota; Metazoa; Chordata; Mammalia; Rodentia; Muridae
Exons: 2
Source: RefSeq, a predicted model, not a curated record
CGUGGUUACCUUGCCCCUUAAAGGGCCAACCUCGACACAUGGUCUCUCUUUUACACACUCUUUCUCUCUCUCUCUCUCUCUCUCUCUCUCUCUCUCUCUCUCGGCACCCCUUCCCUUUUCUCUCUCUCCCCAUGUCCUGCUCCCCCCUCCCUCCUAAUAAACUUCUUGCAGAGAAUAUUGCUUGUCACCAGUCUCAAGCUUUUUAAUAACAUUACAUUGGUGCCGAAACCCGGGAAGGGCUCGCCUAGCUUUGUUAGGGUCCCUUUCGGACUCCUGUAAUCUAACAGGACCUUGGCAGGGGCUCUCUGAGAGGCGCAGCCGUGCAGGUCCGGUUCUGGUCAGUGACUGGAGAUGCCCAGUGCAGCCCCGGAGGGAUGUGAUGAGGCUACAGGGGCGUGCGCCGGGGGUGCAUGGCGCUGGACGCUCAGCAGCUGCCUGCUCCCGCUGCGGCUGCGCCCCCUGCCUGUGCCGUGACCGCCAGCGAGGCCCCCACCCGGACCAGCGCUCCCGAGUGGUGGAGACUCACACAACCACAAAAAUCAACUUUGGAAAACUUGGUAAGAAAUUUUUAAAAAACCAGCACAGUUGGGAAACUUUUAAAUUUCCCGCAGGAUACCCGGCUGGUGCCAUGUUGGUCCUGGGAGGAAGUGGGUGUAAGAAUAGCUUAACCAUUCACUUAACAAUGCAGCGCAGCGCCAUCUUAGGUUCGGGCAGAGAGGCCCCGCCCCCCGCGCGCCCUGCCGCAGUCUCUCCAGUGCUCUGGCUCGCCCCUGGCCCCUCCCCCACCAAGCUGCCGUGCCUGCGCUGCCUGCUCCCUCUUGCUAUGCUCUUCCCCUGCACCCACCAAGCUGCUUUCCUUUCGCUUCUAGCCCCAUUUCGCUUCUAGCCCCGUGCUUUCUUCUAAGAGGCUUUUCCCAAGCUUUAAGAAAAAAAUAAAAUAAAAACUUUUCUCCCUGAUUUCUGUACUCUUUACUCUUUACUCUUAUGCUUUAAAUUAAAUUAAAUUAGAUAAAUGCUUAUCUAAUGCCUUAUAUAAUUUAUAUAAUUUUCUCAUUGGGUUUGCAUUUAUAAGUCUUAAUCAUAAUUAACUGUUUAUCUUAUCUUUUAGACCAGGCCACAACAAUGAACCACGUUUCAAGUUGGUAUGGAUUUUUAUAAAAAUUCAAAGUUACAUUUUACUGUCUUAUGAUUCAACCCUGCUUCAAAAUAAAUUUUAUAUAAUAAUAAAAUUUAGAAGUUAUAAAUAUCUAUUCAAAUUAAGUUGGUUUAUGUGUUGCUCAAAUAUAAUUUUAAGAUUGCUUUAUACUGUUCUGCUAAGGGGUUCAUUAUUACAUACAAAUUGUUUACCUAUAUUCUAAAUUAAGAUCUAUUAAUUUUAGAUGUAUUUAUUUAUGUUAAAACUGGGUCAAUUUAAUACAUCUCUACUAUCAAAGAGUUAAAAUAUGCUUGGUUAAUUUUAAAUUUGGUUUACACUGUUCUGCUAAAUUGUUGGUUUUAAACUUAUAGCCCAAGGGUUUGUUAUUAUGUACAAGUUGUUUACCAAUAUUCUAAAUUAAGAUCUAUUAAUUUUAGAGGUAUUUAUUUAUGUUAAAACUGGAUCAAUUUACAGUAUCUCUGCUAUCAAAAGGUUAAUAUAAGCUUGGUCUUGUUCUCUUAAAAUGAUGUUAUUAAUCUGUAGUAUAGCCUUAGACUAUUAUAAGCUAUAAACUUUUAUAUAUUAAAUCAUACAAAAACUCUUGUGCUCUCACUUUAAUAAGUUAUAUUCAUGACUUUUAAGGUUCUAACUUAGCAAGGACAAAACCUAAAGUUCUGGUUGAUAUUUACUGGUUAACAAAUGCAGGUUAAUAGUCAUUUCAUAAGAUACAUAUUUAUAGUCCUGCAGACAAAUACCAGAUGCAAACAUGGUCUCAUUGCAAUUUUUAAUAAACAGCUGAGGAUGGUACUUGAGUCACAAUAUAGGAGUUGGUAAAAAUAGUAAGCCAUCCCAAAGGGCUCUAGACCUAGCUGCAUUCGGAAGCUGCUGGCGUUCCUGCAAAAACGCAAGAAGUUUGCUUAGCCAAAAGUCUGUUCUGCCAGGUGACAUUUUGAAAUGCAGCCAAAGUGGAUGCUGGUCCUGCUGCUGCAACAUGCCAAAGCUGACUGCUGGCAAACUGGCCUCUGGAAGUCAAAAUGCUCCCAAGCAGGCUUGUCCUCUGUGCCCAGCCAUGGAGGUUCAACCAGCACAAGAGCACAGUCACUUCCAGCCUUCUAGCUCGUUGGCCUGGCAGAGGACAGGUGGCUCCUCGACUUAGCAACCUCCACAGUUCUCGCACAGGUCUGUUUUUUACCUCAGAAUGAGGACCCAUGGACAUAUUGCCAACUUCUGUGUUGGGAGACUUCAGGUGCCUUCCCAGCUCUCUUCAUAUGCAGGAGACCAGGCCUUAAGUUUAAGUCCUAGAGCUGCUAUUUUCAGGCCUAGACACAGUCCAGACUCAAGAAACAGGCCUAAAUGAAACCUUUUUACCAUCCCUUUAGCUAAAGGACAAUAAAUGUUCAUAGCAGUUUCAACUAUGUCUCAUGGUAAAUAACUAAAUACAAAGGUUCCUCUCAAAAAACAUAUUUGAGAGAUGUCUUAAGGUUAAUAAAUACAAGUUAUACAUGUUUGAGAGUCUAAAAAUGUGUCUUAAGGUUGGUAAUGCAAUUUAUAAAUGUUUGAGGGUCUGAAAAAUGUUUUAAGGUUGGUAAAUGCAAGUUAUAAAGGUUACAAGGUCUAAAGUGAUUUAAGGUAUCUUAAAUAGGUAAAAAGGCUUAAUAUUUCCUCCUGUUGUUGUGCUACUGUUGUAUUGACUGUCCAGAGCCAAUAGGGCUCUAAUUUAUUAAUCUGACUCUGAUACAAAAACAUUCCACUAUACCAUGUACUAUUAUGGUUCUAAGAUCAAGAUUGUAAGUCUCCAUAAUAUGUAUACUUAUAGUAAAAGUUAAGAUCAAGUGAGUUUCCCUUUUACUUCAUAAAAGGCGCCUUUUCAGAGCUCACCUUAAAAAUACUUAUGCUAUUAACACAAAUAUGUAUGUCUACUGCCUUUUUCUAUAAUGUACAGUACAAUUGUGAUACUAACAUGUCUAAAGUUUUAUCUCCUUAAAACAUAAAAGUAAUUCUUGUAAGCUGCAGAAAUUCCACCUAAAUCCACCUCUCAGGUCAACUGGACUCCAGAUAAGUACUGCACUUAUUGCCUAUCUCAAAAGGUGGAACUCCUCCCCUUUGCCCAGUUUUGGGACUUCCUUUCCUGGCUACCAGACUGCUAUUUACUGCAUGCAACCACUGGCUGGAUUGGUGAAUUCUCCUUAUUGACCAGCCACUAGAUCAGUGAGUUCACUCCAUUUUCUCAGCAUAAACACCUGUCUUGGUAGGGGAAGCUUGACCACAUAGCUUCAGCAACGUCAUACUAUCUUUUAAGAUGGAGGGACCCCCCCCCAGCCAUAGCCUUAACUGUCUAGGUUUGACCCUCUGUGCUGACCUCCAUUUUAGGGCCUCAUUCUCCCUUGGGCUGUAUGUCUCCUCUCACACACAGUUCCUUCUUCCCCUCCCUUGCUCGCUCGCUUGCUCAUGGGAAGGCCCACACUUGCACAUGGUUCCUUCUCCCCCUCUCUCGCUCGCUCGUGGGAAGGCCUAGCGCUAGGCGAACCGUCGUUCCCCGGCUGUGCCCCACUGGGCAGAGCGCCCCGUCUCUGGCCAAAAGCUGAUGAGCUAUUGGACCAGUGGCCUGCCAGACACAGAUGUUUCCUAUAGCCACAACAGCGCCAAAGCAGCUACAGGUGUUCAACUCUGACCUCACAGACUUCCAACAAGCUGGACCUGCACCUUCCCUCCCAGCCAUGGAUGUUCUUACAGACCCUGGAAAGUGUCAAAACAGCCUAUUCUUCCUGGACUUGGCCAACAUUUCAGCCUUUUGACCUCCCUACAGCGCCCCCAGUGUCAGCAGGAAGUAGCCAGAAGAGAAUCUACGCCCUUUAUUCACUUGUUGUUAACAAAAGGCUGAAAUGGUGUGCUUCAGGACCAGGACAAGCAACUCCAGGUUCUCCCAGCGUUCUCCAGCCCCUACCUGCUGUCUUGUAUGGCUGGCAACUCUCUCUAUUGACAACCCUCUACCCUAAAUUUUCCAGGGCAGAGGCUUCCCUUACUCUUGACCUUGCAAUCUGGCCAUUUUGUUGCUAUAAUUCUUUCUCUCAAACCCUUGCAUGACAACCAAGAGCUGCUUCCAAUGAGCUGAAAUUUAUAUACUUUAACUUACCUUAUAAAAAGCAGCCCAAGCUCCCCAUUUUUAAUUAUAGAAAAAGGGAGGAAUGUUAGUAUUUUGGAACACAACCUGCUCCUGUGUUACCCAGCAACCUAUGAUGUCAUCAUGUGUCGACAGCCAGGUGGCCACACCUGGAAAGUGUGGUUACCUUGCCCCUUAAAGGGCCAACCCCGACACAUGGUCUGUCUCUUACACUCUUACUCCCUCUUCUCUUCUCUUACUCUCCUCUCUUUCUCUCUCUCUCUCUCUCUCUCUCUCUCUCAGGGUGCCCCUUCCCUUUUCUCUCUCUCUCUCCAUGUCCUGCUCCCCCCUCCCUCCUAAUAAACUUCUUGCAGAGAAUA